CUCAAAAGUAUAUAUUUUUUCAAUCUAGUAAGCACAGGUUUAACAAUCUUCAAAAGAAGUCCAUACUAUGUUUGGAGUACACAAAAGAAAACAUGAACAUGUUUCCAGAAAUAGGUUUGAGAAAGAGGCACCAAACCAAGAGGGGAUACUUAAAAUAUUAGUGAAUAUGAAUCUUGAUAGAUAUUUUAAAUGCUAAGAAUUCUAAAAAGCAUGUUUUCAUUUACCAAGCUAAUAUAAAAUUAUAACAAAAAAGUUAAAAUGCUGAAUUUAUAACUCCUAGAUUAUUUUAUAUUUCCUUUAUUCUAGGUCCUGACACCUAAUGAAUUCAUAAUGUUAAUCACCUCUAUUUUGAACCAACUAGGGGGCUUCCUUGGGGUAAGAUUUUAUCUCUAUUUAUAUUUAUAAAAGUAAGUGGCAAUAUCGAGAAAGGUAAUAACUCCUCUGAACUAUAAAAACACAUGGCAGAAUUAACCCAUCUUAAUUUAGUACUUUUUUUUUUUUUUUUACCACUUCAAAUACUUCUAUAAAGCCCUCAGAGGCAAAGUGGGAAAAAUAAAGUUCCAUGUUGUAAACAAGACAGUUCAAGGUCCAAUUUAGCAACAUUAAAGUACAGCAGAGUCACAUUAUUUUCUACUCCCAACCCACACAGUCACAUCAAUAUUAACACAUUAGCCAUAAAAUGGGAGAGACAGGUUUCAUAUAACUAUAAUCUGUAUUUUCUAUUUCAACAGAAAUAAUCCUGUCACUGUUAUGCCACAAAUUAUACAUGGUUAGUAAAAUCUCUAAGUAUUUUUUCUAU
Molecule: long non-coding RNA, 799 nt
Organism: Sciurus carolinensis (gray squirrel)
Lineage: Eukaryota; Metazoa; Chordata; Mammalia; Rodentia; Sciuridae
Exons: 3
Source: RefSeq, a predicted model, not a curated record